AUGAUGAUGAUGGUGGUGAAGAUGGGUUGCAUUUUCCUUCAUCAUAGUCAUCAUUGACC
Molecule: microRNA precursor, 59 nt
Filed under: Canis lupus familiaris (dog)
Lineage: Eukaryota; Metazoa; Chordata; Mammalia; Carnivora; Canidae
Description: Cfa-Mir-12464_pre stem-loop
Source: RNAcentral